GACAGAGGGUGCAAACGUUGUUCGGAAUUACUGGGCGUAAAGCGCGUGUAGGCGGCCACUGCAAGUCGGGUGUGAAAGCCCUGGGCUCAACCUAGGAAGUGCACUCGAAACUGCGGGGCUUGAAGUCUGGAGAGGAAGGCGGAAUUCUCGGUGUAGAGGUGAAAUUCGUAGAUAUCGAGAGGAACACCGGUGGCGAAGGCGGCCUUCUGGACAGCACUUGACGCUGAGACGCGAAAGCGUGGGGAGCAAACAGG
This 254-nucleotide ribosomal RNA is filed under the name uncultured bacterium. Its description in RNAcentral is "partial 16S ribosomal RNA". It matches the Rfam family "Bacterial small subunit ribosomal RNA", at positions 524 to 776 of the family's 1533-position model. The record is from RNAcentral.